Molecule: ribosomal RNA, 439 nt
Filed under: uncultured bacterium
Lineage: Bacteria
Description: bacterial SSU rRNA
Rfam family: Bacterial small subunit ribosomal RNA
Source: RNAcentral
ACUCCUACGGGAGGCAGCAGUGGGGAAUCUUGGACAAUGGGGGCAACCCUGAUCCAGCCAUGCCGCGUGAGUGAUGAAGGCCCUAGGGUCGUAAAGCUCUUUCGCCUGUGAAGAUAAUGACGGUAGCAGGUAAAGAAACCCCCGGCUAACUCCGUGCCAGCAGCCGCGGUAAUACGGAGGGGUUAGCGUUGUUCGGAAUUACUGGGCGUAAAGCGCACGUAGGCGGAUCGGAAAGUUGGGGUGAAAUCCGGGCUCACCCGGAACGGCCUCCAAACUAUCGGUCUAGAGUUCGAGAGAGGUGAGUGGAAUUCCGAGUGUAGAGGUGAAAUUCGUAGAUAUUCGGAGGAACACCAGUGGCGAAGGCGGCUCACUGGCUCGAUACUGACGCUGAGGUGCGAAAGUGUGGGAGCAAACAGGAUUAGAUACCCUGGUAGGAUAG